Molecule: unclassified non-coding RNA, 200 nt
Filed under: [Chalastospora] sp.
Lineage: Eukaryota; Fungi; Ascomycota; Dothideomycetes; Pleosporales; Pleosporaceae
Description: partial internal transcribed spacer 2
Source: RNAcentral
UUAAGUUCAGCGGGUAUCCCUACCUGAUCCGAGGUCAAAGGUUGAAUAAAGGCUUGCUGGACGCUGGCCUUGGCUGGAAGAAGAGCGCGACUUGUGCUGCGCUCCGAAACCAGUAGGCCGGCUGCCAAUGACUUUAAGGCGAGUCUCCAGCGAGCUGGAGACAAAGACGCCCAACACCAAGCAAAGCUUGAGGGUACAAA